UUAAAUCUGAAAUACCAAUUAUAACUGAAAGAGAUUUUAACCUGUUUCUUUUCAGACUGCCUGAAGUUACAUUGUAGAUGCUGAAAUCACUGCACCUUAAAAACAAAAAGAUUAAGCUGCACUGCAUUCUUACAAAUUACCUUCGUGGUCCUGGUCCUUUCGUUCCACACAAUUAUCGACUGAGCUGAAGGAGAUCUCCCUAUAGCUGUGAGUAGUAAUGAGGCUUUAGCAUUUCUUUGCACAUUGCUGCUAGAGAGUGACCUCUCUCUCUAGAAGGCUCACCUUUUCAUUACAAAGGUGUUACUUCUUUUCUGCAUAUUUAAAGCACUGCUUGUGUUACUAUGCAAUCCCUUCACUGUAGAGUAACAGAAAAAUUCAAGCUGACAUAAGUUCCAACAAGCUUCUUUAACCUUGAAAGUGAAAGGUGUCCAGUAACAGGCAGGAGCUUUGAAAGACAGCGGAAGAAUAGAUUCAUUUUGGAUUGUACUCAGAAUGUUGUAUAAAUGAUCCAAGAAACUCAGAGAGAUGCCACAAACACCCCAUUAAGGAGAUACCAGUGACAGAAUGAGAGCUACUGUCCAAAACUGCUUGAGUUUUGACAGCAUUACAUGAUGGCAUCUGAGAUGUAUGUAGAUGUCAGCCAGUGAUAGUGUCCUUUGGUGAAGUCAUUUAUUCACCUGACACUGAUUUUUCCCCUUGUACCAGUGCAUGUACUCUCUUUGUGCGACAGAAUUGAUGUGAUCUUAUGAAAUUCCAAGAAAA
This 762-nucleotide long non-coding RNA is filed under the name Chrysolophus pictus (golden pheasant). Its description in RNAcentral is "lncRNA (ENSCPIG00010003526.1)". The record is from RNAcentral. Lineage: Eukaryota; Metazoa; Chordata; Aves; Galliformes; Phasianidae.